Molecule: long non-coding RNA, 208 nt
Filed under: Phoenix dactylifera (date palm)
Lineage: Eukaryota; Viridiplantae; Streptophyta; Magnoliopsida; Arecales; Arecaceae
Description: long non-coding RNA (PDAC_LNC008656)
Source: RNAcentral
CCGGCUCGGGACAACGGCUUUCCUAGGCAUUUUGACCUUAAAACCGAGGGAUGGACAAGAGAAAUGGAAGAAAACUCGAGGGAGAGAAUCUAGAACGGGUUGGAGACGAGGUCGGAGAUGACUCUAUGGUUUUGGAACAGUGGCGGCCGAGAAUAGAAGUGAGGAAUAAACGUUUCGAUUAGGGUUAAAAAUCAGAUUCCCGACCUCG